UGAUAUUGUAUUGUAUUGUUUUUUUUUUUUUUUUGCUUAGGCUUAUUAUCUCAGAGUUAUGGUCGAUCUACUUUUCUUGCUUGUCUUGUGCACUUGAAAUAUGCCGCUAUUUACCUCCCCUGUAUGAUGAUACAACUUCUAAUCAAUUCAUUUUUUUGUGUGUUUGUGUGUGUGUUUUGGGUGGGUGGUGGUAGGGUUACUACUGGCAUGAGUUAGUCUUAAUUUGGAGCUACAUGGUCGGUGAGGAUUCAUGUAGUAGAGAUUGAAAGUAGUAGUAGUACAGUGUAAAUACUUCUUUAUCACACCAACUGGCUGCUGAAACCCGCAUCUCUUCUGCGUCCUUUAUGCAGGCUGUGGGUGUGAAAGAUGAGGGUAUGCCAGAUCAAUCUGCGAAGAAACCAAAGGGUGGAGGAAAAGGUUCCAACUCUGGUGAAGUGGAAAGUUCAAGCCCUGCAGAACCUAGUAAUGCCAAAGCAACACCAUUUAGUAGCAUAACUACAGAGAAUGCCGAGCCCAGUUGUUCCAACUCAUCUUCACUGUCAGAGCGCAGGAAGCUUCAAACUUGAAGCAGUCGAUCCGUCCAUUGGCCCCAGUUGACGCACCGUUUAUCUUAAAUAGAUACAAACUAGAUAACCGACCCACCACAUUCAAGAUCCUUCCACCUCUGCUAAGUGGUAUGGCAAAUGUUGACGUCCUGAAGGAAUACUUUUCUACAUUUGGUGAUCUUCUUUCUGUUGAGCUGGAAGAUUUAGAACCUCAAGAUUGUCAUAAUGGCUCAGAGGUGCUAAAUACAUCUGCUAGGGUAUCUUUUCGAUCACGCCGGUCUGCUGAAAGAGCAUAUUUGAAUGGUAAAUGCUGGCAAGACCAAACUCUGCAUUUUACGUGGUUGCAAUCCAGUAAUUCUGCAAAGGAUAUUGGUGUUGGAGAAAAUGUCACUCCAGCUUCAAAAGUUGUCUGGCUGGUUUCCAGGAAGGAAGCGGGGCAGGGAAUUGUGAACCUGAAAAUCAAGAAAGAGGAGAAAAAGAAUGAAGAUCCAAGUAAAGCUCAAUUCUGCAUCUGGUUAACAAUUGGCUCAAUUCGAUUGAUCAUGAUGAAGUUCGAAUUUCAGAGUUGUACAGCGAGGUAAAUUUUACAUCUUUUAUAUGUAAUGUCACGAGUUUUAGCGAUUGAUGAAACUCUGUUCCAAUUUUGUUUUCACAUUAUCUGCAAAUGUAAAGAGAAAUCUUUUAUUUUAGACUAUAGAGGGGUUAUUCUUGUUAGUCACUGAAUGCUCAUUAGACCAAAGAUGGGUCAUUCCUGUUGUCAAUGAAUGCUCAGACAGCGCCACCCUUCUUCUGGGUGUUUUAUUUAUUUCAAGUGACUUCCUUUACUUAUACCGGCUUUGCAGCGUUCUAUCAGAAUUAACGUUCCUGUGGUCCUUUCUUUACUACGAGUGUCUUGAAUAAUUUUGAUGUCUCCUAAGCAAGGGCGGCUCAACUCUAGAGCCACUAAAGCAGUGGCUUAUUUUGUAUAAUCUUUUUGAUAAUUAGUACAACUAACAUUUAUCUAUCUCUUAUCAUUUUCUUUGUGAACUGCGUCUUCUUGUAAUUUUUUUGCGUGUUUUGGUCAAGUUAAACCAUGGCAGCAACUCAAUUCACCAAAACCGUUACCUGAGUUUUUGCAGGAUCAGUAUGUGCCUCCAGAUACAUCAAAAAAUUUAAUUGUAUACCUGAUGAACACUAUGUCCAAACUCUGCUUGCUGACUUGAAGUGAAAUUACACGGAGGACAUUGACUCACACUGCAUGGCUUAUUUUGUCCUCCAAGGAGCGUGAACGGAAAGGAUGGCAUCCUGUUACCUAUAAAUUAUCCGAUGCUAAUCCAAUCUUUGAAGGUACUGUUUGUUCUUUUCAAUAAGCAGAUAAGUAGACUAGCCAAGUCUACUGCAGGAAACUCGGUGAUCAUUUGGGAGAAAAAUAUUUCAGAAAAUUACAUAACCAUAUAUCGACAAGAGGAGAAGAUGAUGAAAUAGUAAUCCCACUCAGCAAUUGACCUCCUCUUUGUCAGCAAUUGAAAUGAGAAUGAUUGUCUUAUUAUAUGACCCUGAAUUAUUAGGUGUAAAAUGAUGAAUAUGCACACACCUUAGAAUCUAUUUGGUUUUGACAGGACAUUGACAAUAAGAAUUUUGAAACAGAACACCGGAGAGAGUGGUGCACCACGAAGGAGAAACCUGCCCCUUGUUUCCUUUUUGCAAGGAAAUUCAUUUUGGGUAUGUAGCAAGAAUUGAGAACAUAAAUAUUUGGGAACUUGAAAAGUCCUCUUAUGCUUUAAUGAAAUGGCAUUUGUCCCUCAUCGGUGGUGAAAAGUAAAAUAGGAGAGUUUAAAUAUAGAAACACUCCUAUUAAUUGUUAAAAGGGUUGGAAAGAAGGACCCCCUUGUGUCGUCGUCCCUCACUCGGCCUCGGCUACAGCUAUGACUUUAAUUAUUUAAUUAAUUAUUUAUUAUUUAAAUUAAAUGGACAAAACAACUCCACUCGAAUACUAGAGCGGAAUAAUAUCCUUAAUGGGACACUCUUAAUGGGACACUGUGAGUUCAGUGGACUUGAUCUUUUUCUGUUCAAAUUUUUAUAGAUUCUAGUACACUAUAGAUUUUAUUUCUUUUUAAUUAAUUUAAGUUCAUAUCUCGUACUGAUUCAGUAAACUUUGGUUACUUCGUGUUUCUGCAAAGUUUUAUCAGAAUCAGUAAUUCUGUUUUUCAAACACAGAUUGGGCAAUAAUCUUAAGGGAAUUAUUUAUUAUUAUUAAUGUAUGUUUCUGGUGGACACAAAAAUCUUGAUUUUAUACUCCUUCAGGUAUGCAAUUAUAAGUUAUUGCUUACUAAGAUUGUAUCUAAUUUUUGUUUAUCAAAAAAUGGCAAACAACGCUGUUACAGUGAUUGUUGCUUCACCGACCCGAACUAUUAUACCACAAGCAGAGAAACCGGGUAAAUUCACUAGUGUGAAUUUCAAAGGAUGGCAGCAACGAGUAUUUAUCUGGCUUACUAGUCUUGGUCUGCAGAAAUUUACCAGUGAAGAAACUCCAGUGCCUACUGCUGAUAUGUCAGACAAAAAAAAAUCAUGAUUGAAGCAUGGAAACACGAAGAUUCCUAUGUAAAGGCUACAUUUUGAGUGCUUUAGAUGAUGAGUUAUAUAAUGUCUAUAGUGCAAUAACAACUUCAAAAGAGUUGUGGGAUGCACUUGAGAAGAACUAUAAGACAGAAGAUGCAUGCUUGAAAAUGUUUGUGAUCGCAAAGUUUUUAGAGUAUAAAAUGGUGAUAGUAAAACUGUUGGAUCACAAGUGCUGGACUUCAACUUAUUCUCCGUGAUCUCAUUGCUGAAGAUAUGACAGUAACUGAAGCUUUUCAAGUGGCUGCAAUAAUCGAGAUGUUGCCUCCUUCAUGGAAUGACUUCGAGAAUUAUCUAAAGCACAAGCGUAAAGAAAUGAAGCUUGAAGAUCUUGUUAUUCGGCUCAAGAUUGAGGAAGAUUAAAAAAAUCUCUGAAAAAGAAGUCUCAUAAGAGUUCAACAAUCAUUGGAGUUAAUAUUGUUGAAGAAGCUCCUACCAAAGAUAAAAAGAGAAAGAAGUUUAACGAGCAGAAGUCAGAACAGACCAAGAAGAAAUUCAAAGGCAAGUGUUACAACUGUGGUAAGGCUAGUAAUAGGUCUUCUGAUUGUCGUGCUCCAAGAAAGGACAACGACAAAGGCAAAGGCAAAAGUCAAGCAAACAUCAUGGAAGAGUUGGAAGAUGCAAAUGACUUGUGUGCAAUGAUUUCGGAGUGUAAUGAUAUGAGAAAAAUAUCAUAUAUAUAUUAAGUUGUUAUUUAAUUUUAA
Solanum pennellii is the source of this 3844-nucleotide RNA transcript. It is a transcript of the gene named zinc finger CCCH domain-containing protein 41-like, with no coding region annotated. NCBI's taxonomy places the organism in Eukaryota, Viridiplantae, Streptophyta, Magnoliopsida, Solanales, Solanaceae. The transcript is spliced from 4 exons. The record is from RefSeq and is a predicted model, not a curated record.